GUCCACGCCGUAAACGAUGAUAACUAGUUGUUCGGGUUCACAGAACUUGAGUGACGCAGCUAACGCAUUAAGUUAUCCGCCUGGGAGUACGGUCGCAAGAUUAAACUCAAAGGAAUUGACGGGCCUGCACAAGCGGUGGAGCAUGUGGUUUAAUUCGAAGCAACGCGCAGAACCUUACCAGCCUUUGACAUCCUCUGACGAUUACCGGAGACGGUUUUCUCCUUCGGGACAGAGUGACAGGUGCUGCAUGGCUGUCGU
This 258-nucleotide ribosomal RNA is filed under the name uncultured bacterium. RNAcentral's name for it is "partial 16S ribosomal RNA". It matches the Rfam family "Bacterial small subunit ribosomal RNA", at positions 793 to 1055 of the family's 1533-position model. The record is from RNAcentral.